Molecule: ribosomal RNA, 427 nt
Filed under: uncultured bacterium
Lineage: Bacteria
Description: partial 16S ribosomal RNA
Rfam family: Bacterial small subunit ribosomal RNA
Source: RNAcentral
UGGGGAAUAUUGCACAAUGGGCGCAAGCCUGAUGCAGCCAUGCCGCGUGUGUGAAGAAGGCCUUCGGGUUGUAAAGCACUUUCAGCGAGGAGGAAGGGUAGUGUGUUAAUAGCACAUUGCAUUGACGUUACUCGCAGAAGAAGCACCGGCUAACUCCGUGCCAGCAGCCGCGGUAAUACGGAGGGUGCAAGCGUUAAUCGGAAUUACUGGGCGUAAAGCGCACGCAGGCGGUUUGUUAAGUCAGAUGUGAAAUCCCCGCGCUUAGCGUGGGAACUGCAUUUGAAACUGGCAAGCUAGAGUCUUGUAGAGGGGGGUAGAAUUCCAGGUGUAGCGGUGAAAUGCGUAGAGAUCUGGAGGAAUACCGGUGGCGAAGGCGGCCCCCUGGACAAAGACUGACGCUCAGGUGCGAAAGCGUGGGGAGCAAACA